GCUGCAGUAAGGAGAACACAGGGAACUGUGUAGAAGAGACUGAAAGAGAAUCGUACUUAUGAAAGACCUCUAGACCAGGAAUGAUUCGAACAAAUACUGAACAAGUUUUUCCUCCGAGUCCUCAGCAAACAGUAGGCAGCAGGCGGAAGGUGCUGAGACCGCAAAGCUGGUAACUUGGCUCCCUAGUCCAAUUGUAAGUGACAGGUGACCAUUUUGACCCCUUUCUCUUUAGAGCCACCUAGAACAUGGAUGCAAGCUGGAACUUUGACGUUGUCUUGGGGAUAAAAGUUAAACAAAGAAGUGGACUCUUCAGUCCUGAUGCGUAAGUCACUGAGAGGAUGAGCUCGUUCCCUCUCCUGAAAGACAUCUACCUGUUACAGCAGCCAGCUUUUCCAGCUCCCUGAACGUUCUGCUGCCUCCUUGCCCAGAACAGCACCAGUCCUGCAGGAGGAUUAUCCAGAGUGCUCCCUCCAUCGGAGCAAGUCCUCACCUCCAGGAGCCUUGCGGCGGGCGUAUCCCACACACUUGAUCAACGGCCCUUCAUCUUCCUGCUGCAUCUGGCAUGGCUUGUUCCUGCAGACAGUUCUCCUGUGGCCCCUCCUGAAGCUCUUCUCACACCAGGAUUGAGAAUAAAGCAGUUGUUGCCAUCUGUGAUUGGCUCGCUUUACUCUAUGCCGGAGUCUGAAGUGUGGUUUUGUUUUUCUUUUCCUUUGGUUUUGUUGUUGUUUGUUUGCUUGGAAGUUUUUGAGACAGGGUCUCAGACUGGUCUCACACUUACAGCCAUUGUACUUUCUACAACUUCCAAGGGCUUGGAUUUAGAAUUGCUCAUCACCUAGACUGGUUUAAGUGUGUUUUGAAACAAAGAUUGGGCACUCUUAGCUGGUAGUGUAGCUCAACUUCACAAGUGUGCAUGAAACCUGUACGCCAUAAACUGGACUAACGUUGUACUUCUAAUCCCAAUACUGGGAGGUAGAAGCAGGAAUAUCAGAAGUUCACGGUCAUCCUUGGCUACGGAUGGAAUUUAAAAGUAGCCUGGAUACGUGGCAUUUUGUCUCAAAAAGGAAUUAAAUCUUAUUCCCUCAUUUCUGUUUCCAGACUCAUUCUGCUAUGCUUUGGGGACCUUCUCCUCUGAGUCCAAUGUCAAUCCAUUUGUUUACAGACCUUUCCCGCCCGGAAGCUCCCAUCUCUGAGCUGCUUUGUUGUCUGGGGUUGGUGUGUGUGUGUGUGUGGGAGGGUGUUGUUUAGAUCUUUGCAAGCUGUCUUUCCCAUCAUGAAACCUCUGCACAGUUGGACCCAUGAGGCUCGUCAGGACUUAUGGCAGUGAGGCACUAUUGAUGCCCUGGAGACAGGAGCCACAACGCUGUUAAAUGUGGCCUCUGUGGCAAGAAUUGAUUUUUUAAAAUUUU
RNAcentral lists this long non-coding RNA (1406 nucleotides) under Mus spicilegus (steppe mouse). Its description in RNAcentral is "lncRNA (ENSMSIG00000009597.1)". Lineage: Eukaryota; Metazoa; Chordata; Mammalia; Rodentia; Muridae. The record is from RNAcentral.